Molecule: ribosomal RNA, 253 nt
Filed under: uncultured bacterium
Lineage: Bacteria
Description: partial 16S ribosomal RNA
Rfam family: Bacterial small subunit ribosomal RNA
Source: RNAcentral
GACGAAGGUGGCGAGCGUUGUUCGGAAUCACUGGGCAUAAAGCGCACGUAGGCGGUGACGUAAGUCGGGUGUGAAAUCCCUCGGCCUAACCGAGGAACUGCGCCCGAUACUGCGUUGCUUGAGGACUAGAGGGGUGCAUGGAAUUUCCGGUGGAGCGGUGAAAUGCGUUGAUAUCGGAAGGAACUCCGGCGGCGAAAGCGAUGCACUGGCUGGUUUCUGACGCUGAGGUGCGAAAGCCAGGGGAGCAAACGGG